GGGACAGAAGUGACAGGUGGUGCAUGGUUGUCGUCAGCUCGUGUCGUGAGAUGUUGGGUUAAGUCCCGCAACGAGCGCAACCCUUGCCUUUAGUUGCCAGCAUUAAGUUGGGCACUCUAGAGGGACUGCCAGGGAUAACCUGGAGGAAGGUGGGGAUGACGUCAAAUCAUCAUGCCCUUAUGCUUAGGGCUACACACGUGCUACAAUGGGUGGUACAGAGGGCAGCCAAGUCGUGAGGCGGAGCUAAUCCCUUAAAGCCAUUCUCAGUUCGGAUUGUAGGCUGAAACUCGCCUACAUGAAGCUGGAAUCGCUAGUAAUCGCAGAUCAGAAUGCUGCGGUGAAUACGUUCCCGGGUCUUGUACACACCG
RNAcentral lists this ribosomal RNA (368 nucleotides) under uncultured bacterium. RNAcentral describes it as "bacterial SSU rRNA". It matches the Rfam family "Bacterial small subunit ribosomal RNA", at positions 1022 to 1392 of the family's 1533-position model. The record is from RNAcentral.